CAUAUUACUUACAGUAGCAAAUUUUUCGGAUUUGCAGGAAGAAGGGAAGCAGCUAUGUUGCUGACUUCGUUGAGACUGAGAAGAGCUACACCACCACUAUUGUCAUGGACGUUCCGGCGGCAGCUGAGAACGACGGGUGCAAGUGUGGCACCAGCUGCGCUUGCGUGGACUGCACUUGUGGUGGUCAUUAAUCUAAAUACUAUGUUUAACAAUAAUUUCAAGUGACUGAAAUUGUUGGAAUAAUGUAAUCCUUGAUAAUAACACGUGUGAAGUGUGUGUGAGUGUGUCAGUCAUACUUGUAUUUCCUUUCCAUAAUCAUGUAAUGGCCUUGGCCUUUUGUGGUUUUUAAUGUAUUGCUGUUAUUAGUAUA
Pistacia vera is the source of this 370-nucleotide long non-coding RNA. RefSeq lists it as uncharacterized. The record is from RefSeq and is a predicted model, not a curated record. The transcript is spliced from 2 exons. Lineage: Eukaryota; Viridiplantae; Streptophyta; Magnoliopsida; Sapindales; Anacardiaceae.